Molecule: long non-coding RNA, 391 nt
Filed under: Pan troglodytes (chimpanzee)
Lineage: Eukaryota; Metazoa; Chordata; Mammalia; Primates; Hominidae
Description: long non-coding RNA NONPTRT002146
Source: RNAcentral
GUACCGAUUCAUCACCGACGUGUUAAAGUAUCCGUGUGUGUGCCUCCAAAAACCGUUUGUGGAGACAGCAGAGUGCCCGAGGCAGGAAACCGCUCCGGCCUGGAGGCGCCCCUGCCCGGACUCGUGGACUGCAGCGCUGUCCCGCCCGGAAGCCGAUCCUGGGAGUCCGAGCGGGGCCGCGGGGCCUGCGUGGCAGCCGAGUCGAGGGCUUCGGGCCGCGGGGCUGUGGAGCGCCCCUUGGCGCUGGGCCGCCGGCAGCCGUGAGCGCAUCACUGCAUUUCCCUGGAGGAAUUCCUCAUCUGUUGAAUGAGGGAGUUGAGGCAGACACGCUGGGAAAUGGCUUCGAGCUCACACACUGAUUUUCGGCCACAGAGGUUAGGAUUCCCUAGGA